GACGAACGCUGGCGGCGUGCCUAAUACAUGCAAGUAGAACGCACAGUUUAUACCGUAGCUUGCUACACCAUAGACUGUGAGUUGCGAACGGGUGAGUAACGCGUAGGUAACCUGCCUGGUAGCGGGGGAUAACUAUUGGAAACGAUAGCUAAUACCGCAUAAUAUUAAUUAUUGCAUGAUAAUUAAUUGAAAGGUGCAAUUGCACCACUACCAGAUGGACCUGCGUUGUAUUAGCUAGUAGGUGAGGUAACGGCUCACCUAGGCGACGAUACAUAGCCGACCUGAGAGGGUGAUCGGCCACACUGGGACUGAGACACGGCCCAGACUCCUACGGGAGGCAGCAGUAGGGAAUCUUCGGCAAUGGACGAAAGUCUGACCAAGCAACGCCGCGUGAGUGAAGAAGGUUUUCGGAUCGUAAAGCUCUGUUGUAAGAGAAGAACGGGUGUGAGAGUGGAAAGUUCACACUGUGACGGUAUCUUACCAGAAAGGGACGGCUAACUACGUG
This 505-nucleotide ribosomal RNA is filed under the name uncultured bacterium. RNAcentral's name for it is "partial 16S ribosomal RNA". It matches the Rfam family "Bacterial small subunit ribosomal RNA", at positions 28 to 507 of the family's 1533-position model. The record is from RNAcentral.